AGGCCAUGGUGAGGACAUUCUUGGAGUAGAUCCUUGAAUCUCUCCAUAAUUUUGAAAAAGGACUCACUAAGCUUUUGCCUAAACUGACGGAUAACACUUCUAAGUUU
Molecule: small nucleolar RNA, 107 nt
Organism: Macadamia integrifolia
Lineage: Eukaryota; Viridiplantae; Streptophyta; Magnoliopsida; Proteales; Proteaceae
Source: RefSeq, a predicted model, not a curated record